GGGGAAGGCAGAGCUAUCAAAGCCCUUCUUCUUCCCAAUCAUGUCUUUCUCUAGGAGACCUACAGGAGAGGACUGGGCCUAAGAAGUCAGGGUUGCCACCCACAACUAAUGAUAAAAUUUCAAUUUGAAAUCAGUAAUUUAAUGGAAUGAGAUUUCUUUUCAUCCGGAUUGGGACGCAUUCAUUAAAUACGUACUCGGCGGCAGGCCUUCGGGUGAGGAGGUGAGGAGGACCUCCCUGCCCUGCAGGGGAAGAAGCUCAGUAAGGGAGGAGAGCAGGCAAGACCUCAGCCUCCAGGCAGACAGUACCACAGUAAGGUGGGCAGUGAACCUGCUGUAAGGGAGGAGGAGGAGGCUCACCGGAACUGGGCGGGGACAGAGAUGGGAGGGCUUGGAGAAGGCAGCAACAUGAAGAAACUCCACAUUCACAUGGAGGAGGAUGGUAGAAUGCAGUCUUCAGUCUGAGACCCAUCCCUAGGUUUCCGACAACUUGGAAGAUUGUGAUAUCAGAUUAGAGGAAAAACUUCUGGACUGAUGGGGAGCUGAAAUGUUCAUGAAUAUCAAGCAGAACAGGAAUUAACUGCACAGACUGAGGUAAAAGAAAACCGAAGCAAUCUUUUUGACUUUGCUUAAAAUGUUGCUGAUCCUUUUUUCAGGGUCAAGGAAACUUUUAUUGACAACUUUUAACAAUUAUACUCCUAUGAAAACAAAUUGAAGCAUAUUUGUUUCUACCUGAUUUCUCCAGAAUUUGGAAACUAUUUGUGAGCAUUCUUGACUGAUAGCAAUAUAGUUAUUUGCGUAAGUACAAUAAGAAUCUUUUCAUUUCUAAAUGAAAUAGGACACAAUUGGAGAAACUGGUUAUUUUAACAAGGCUUUGACUGGAAUGGUGUACUUUCCUGUAAGGAAUUAAACUUGACUUAUAGAGCCAAUAAAAUUGCCUUUGGGAAAUCUGGCCUCAUAUCUUGUCUGCAUAGUCCCUGUAGAGGGUUCGUGACCUGUGGUAAGUAAAGAAUGCCACAUUCUGAUAGGCCUAGUAGCCCCAAGUUAUCUUGGGACCUCAAGAAGAGAAGAAUUCAUCCAACUCGGAUUUGAUGGUACAAAUCCAUGGCUGGGAUUGGCUUUAAAAAGUCUUAUCUGAGAUUCCACGGAACAAAGUUCCAUCAAGCCAAUUUUAAAAGCCUAUAUAAAAAAUAAUUAUUCUUGGCCAGGUGCAGUGGCUUACACCUGUAAUCCCAGCACUUUGGGAGGCUGAGGUGGGUGGAUCACGAGGUCAGGAGUUAAAGACCAGCCUGGCCAACAUAGUGAAACCCUCUCUCUACUAAAAAUACAAAA
This 1329-nucleotide long non-coding RNA is filed under the name Callithrix jacchus (white-tufted-ear marmoset). RNAcentral's name for it is "lncRNA (ENSCJAG00000071306.1)". Lineage: Eukaryota; Metazoa; Chordata; Mammalia; Primates; Cebidae. The record is from RNAcentral.